CCUACGGGCGGCAGCAGUGAGGAAUAUUGGUCAAUGGGCUUACGCCUGAACCAGCCAAGUCGCGUGAGGGAAGACUGCCCUAUGGGUUGUAAACCUCUUUUGUCAGGGAGCAACGCCGGCUACGUGUAGCCGGACUGAGAGUACCUGAAGAAAAAGCAUCGGCUACCUCCGUGCCAGCAGCCGCGGUAAUACGGAGGAUGCGAGCGUUAUCCGGAUUUAUUGGGUUUAAAGGGUGCGUAGGCGGAAUGCCAAGUCAGCGGUAAAAUCGCGGGGCUCAACCUCGCUCCGCCGUUGAAACUGGCGUGCUUGAGUGGGCGAGAAGUAGGCGGAAGGCGUGGUGUAGCGGUGAAAUGCAUAGAUAUCACGCAGAACUCCGAUUGCGAAGGCAGCAUACCGGCGCCCAACUGACGCUGAAGCACGAAAGCGUGGGUAUCGAACAGGAUUAGAUACCCCUGUAGUC
This 460-nucleotide ribosomal RNA is filed under the name uncultured bacterium. RNAcentral describes it as "partial 16S ribosomal RNA". It matches the Rfam family "Bacterial small subunit ribosomal RNA", at positions 338 to 795 of the family's 1533-position model. The record is from RNAcentral.